This 3751-nucleotide long non-coding RNA is filed under the name Limulus polyphemus (Atlantic horseshoe crab). Its description in RNAcentral is "uncharacterized LOC111089564". The record is from RNAcentral. Lineage: Eukaryota; Metazoa; Arthropoda; Merostomata; Xiphosura; Limulidae.
UAUGAAGGAAAUUUAUGUGAACGGAAAACAUUUGGACAUCAUGGUGGCCAGAGAGCAACGAAGCGUGUCUCCGGGCUGUCAGGAAUUCGAUGCUCCAGAUCCGUGUAAAGAUCAUCGCUGUGAAAAGGGCAAGUGCUCACCUAAAGAUUCGUACACCUACCAAUGCAAGUGUCACCGUGGCUGGAGUGGACAAUUCUGUAAUCAAGCCCCCACCUGCCAGAAGGAGCAGACUCGAGCCUUCUAUGUGGAGAAUGGUUGUCGGUCGAAGAAGAAGAUAAAACGGGUCCGUUGUGUGGGGUCCUGUGGGAAUGACUGCUGUAGACCCAAGAGGAUCAAGAAGCGACGCGUACGAAUGAUAUGUCCUGAUCACAAGAUGUACAGGACUGAUGUCGAAAUUAUCAGAAAGUGCAAAUGUUCGAGAAAGUGUUAAAAUGGAAAAGCUUUUUUCUUUUUAUGUUCGUUGUAAUGUACUGGUUUCAGACAUUGUGUUCUUUGUCUGCCAACAGAGGGCGACCUGGUUCUACUGUUGGUACUGUGUCUAUUACGGAAGCGCCUUAAAUGACGUCAAAGAAUGAAGAGGCGACAACUACUUACCCUUCCCCUGUGUUAAUUUCUCAUUCCAGGCCAUUCGAUCGCCAAGUUAAAUCUCUAUUCAUUAUAUAUAUGUAUGUGCAUGUAAGUGUUUUCGAACUAAAGGCAUUUUCCUCCUCUAUUUUUUUCUUGCCAGCAAUUGCGAUAUUUCUCAUAUAGCCCUCAAUUUAAAACCAAAUAAUAUCCAGAGAAAUCUAAGUUAUUCCUUUUGAAAAAAAAAAAAAGUUGCUUUUUAAAAAUAACUGAAGUUCGUUCUGCACAUUUUUCGUUACAACCCUUAGAAUCAGAUAAAAUUUCUGUUGUGAAUGGUAGCGUGUAAAAACUUAGUUUUAAGUUGUUCAGUUUCCCACAAAUUCUUGCUUUUGUUCAUGUAUAGACACACACGAACCUACAGGUUGUAACUAAGGUGUAAACCUCUCUGGACUAGAGAUCGAACAUUGAUGGUUCUAUGUUGUAAUAUAUAUAUAUAUAUCUGAAACGUACAAAUGUCCGAUUGUACAGCUCUUCUUUCCCCCUGUUUGAGGACCCCUUUGAUAAUCUUUACAAAACGUAUCUUCUUGCUGCAACGUUUCUUUGAGGUCAGCUUUAGCGUGGGUUUUAUAAUCCAUUUUGCUAUACAGAUGCGAAAAACGAAAACAUAACAAUAUAAGUUCUGAAGUAACAGUUUCUAAGGUACCUAGUGCACUUCAACCGACCAUAGUAACAGUAGGAUGGAGCUGGUGGCGUUUUCAGUUAUCUUAUUUAUAAUACGUGAAACCACCAAAGGUAAUUUAAAUGUACCAAUUUUUUCGAUUAGGAAAAGCCAAGUCAGUGUAAACAGUUAUUAUACGUGGCGAAUUAAGACAUCUUCUAUUUUGUUGUAGUAUCAAAAUUUCAAUAUUACCAACUAUUGCAGUAAAUAUGUAAACGUCCAUAUAUGUAUGUAUCGGUCACGUAUAACAUCAAAACUUUAAAAAAAAAAUACUUUUCAUCUAGAAAAUAGUUUCAUCGGUAUUGUUGGUAAAACGCCUCUUUCUUGUAACAAAAACAAUUCUGUAAACAAAUUAACAUGUUUUAAACCUUCUUUAAUUGGCAACUUAAUUGGACUAUAUUUAACAUCCAAAUUUAACCGUUUUACUUAGUUUAAAAGUUUCCCCCUAGAGUUGUGUGAAAAUAAGAUGUUGGUUUACACAAGCUGUAACAAAUGUGAUUGGUGUACGUAGGGGAAGAUUGUAGGUAUACAUUGUUGUGUUUCGUUGGUUCUGGUUUCACUUUGAUUUUUACUUAUUUAUGUUGUGAUUUAUUCGUUUUAAUAUAUUCUCGUUUCAUCCACUGAUUUUAAACUCAACAAAAUAGAACAUUAAACACAUUUCCUAAGUUAUUUUUUAUUUCAUCCAAUCAGUAUGUUUACUUGAACUUCAACAUCCAGCUUGCAAUCUGAAAUAAGGGCAGUAAAUUUUAACUGCUGUAUAUAUGAGAGACCUCUAGUGUUUACCUACAGAGUUUACCUUUCACUUGAAAAACAAAAGGCAUUGUUCUUCUCUUGUAUCAUAGUAUUUUGAAAGUACCGCGUGCCCGUUCUUUUUAUUACUACUGGAGUAAUUGAGGAACAAAAUUAGGCCAGUUCAUCGCAAGUCUACGACUCUUAUGUAUUACAGCAUGUAUUUAACUUAACUUGUAAUCGAGGUCCUUUUUUAUAGAUUGUUUUAAGCUUAAAAAAUGCUGUUAUUCACACAAAAAAGAGCUAUUUAAAGCUCGAAAAAUUGCUAUAACAUUAUAUAUACAUAUUGGUGUUUAAAAAUGUAAAAAUUAUCAAACAACCAGUAUUCAAAAAAUAACUUCGGUUGAAUGCAAACUAUUCUAGCAUUUGUGAAAGAAAAAACAAAGGUUUGCUUUACAUUUCUAAUUUAUCUGUGUUUUUAAGUUGUUUUAUAUAUUUUUAACUCGUAAUAUCAUUUAGACCUAUGACCGUUAUCAGUUUGAUAAAGAUGUGAUCGUACUGGUCUUGAAAAUUUACGUCAGUAAGUUAUGUAAAAUAAUUUCCAUUAUAAUCUACUAACACAGAGAUUGGUUCAAUUUAUUCAAAAAAUGAAAAUAAACACUUUGGAUGAUCACUGCAUUUGAAGAACAACAACUUCGUCUCAUGAAAAAGGGCACUCAAAAUCUUACUCCCACUAGUAAAUCACUUUAUUACGAUGCUAAAAACGUAAAGGCUGAAAUAUUUAAUAACAAAACGACAACCGAACCAGAAAAGCCUGUUUGAAUGAAUGCCGGUUAUGUAGUUGAUAAUAUUUUCUAUUGGUAGUAAAAAUGUUAUUUUGUUUGUCGUACACUCACAGCUGUAACGCAUUUUAUUUAGCUAAAACAGUACUUAAAGUAUCGAGCUCCUUAAGAAAUAUAUUGUGGCCACUAAGCACUUAUUACAAUGCUUUUAGUGCAUAUUGCGUUUUAUUGUUGAAGAAUGUACAAUGUACAUUAUCAUGGUAAAAAUACAAGAUCUUGCCGAAUUGUUUCUCGGUGUUAUUGUUGUUAUAACAAACAAUUACGCUUUUUGAAAUAAAUCCGUGUUUGUGUGUGUUUUCACAUUUUCCUAACCAAUGGCUACUUUAUAUGUCUAUUAUUACUCACGUAGACCUUUUUCUUUAUAAAAUCUUAUGAAAUUGCCUAAAAUUUAUUAUGUGAAAUUAUAUUACUAUGUUUAAAAUAUGAAAAGUUUAAACCAUUUUUGUAGUUUGAAUUAAAUUUUAGCCUAAAAGCUGUACAGAUAUUUACUUAAGUAAAUAACAUCGCGGAAACUUGUGUAAAUUUAGGCUUCGCGUUAUGGAUAAGAUGAUUAUUUAAAAAUGACCCAGGCACAACUGGUCAUAAAAUCUAUUGGGUUGCUACGUAUAUUUAACCUUUUUCUUUUCCCUUUUGAUAAUUUACACAAACGUUUGAGGCCUAAUACAUAAUAACGUCAUAGAAUGUACGCAUCUGAUGUAUAAAUUCUGCACUUUUCAGUGCAUUUUGUUUAGUUUUUUAAAUAUCAUAAGUGUAAAAAUCCGGGCUCAUGUUACUUGGUAGUGCAUGCUUCUAAGGAGGUCAACAUAUAUUUUACUCCUCGCUGUAAGUGAUGUAACUAUGUUGAUGAUGUAAAUUUAUCAAUUUAGUGAAUAAAUGUAUUGAGUUUGAUUCUUCUUUA